AGACGCUGGCGGCGUGGAUUAGGCAUGCAAGUCGAACGGUAUCAUCCUUUCGGGGGUGAGAGAGUGGCGAACUGGUGAGUAACACGUAGGUUAUCUACCCUCAAGACGGGGACAACCCAGGGAAACUUGGGCUAAUACCGGAUGUGAGCAACUUUUAGUUGUUUGAAAGGUGGCGUAAGCUGUCGCUUGGGGAUGAGCCUGCGUCCUAUUAGUUAGUUGGUGAGGUAACGGCUCACCUAGGCAAUGAUAGGUAGGCGGCCUUAACGGGUGGUCGCCCACACUGGGAUUGAGAUACGGCCCAGACUCCUACGGGAGGCAGCAGUCGAGAAUAGUCUACAAUGGUCGGAAGACUGAUAGUGCGACGCCGCGUGAACGAUGAAUCCCUUCGGGGUGUAAAGUUCUUUUAUAUGUGAGCAGUGCUUCUUAUAUUAACAGUAUGGGGAGAGAGAUAUUAGCAUAUGAAUAAGCAACGGCUAACUCCGUG
This 484-nucleotide ribosomal RNA is filed under the name uncultured bacterium. RNAcentral's name for it is "bacterial SSU rRNA". It matches the Rfam family "Bacterial small subunit ribosomal RNA", at positions 33 to 507 of the family's 1533-position model. The record is from RNAcentral.